AUUGAACGCUGGCGGCAGGCCUAACACAUGCAAGUCGAGCGGAUGAAGGGAGCUUGCUCCUGGAUUCAGCGGCGGACGGGUGAGUAAUGCCUAGGAAUCUGCCUGGUAGUGGGGGAUAACGUCCGGAAACGGGCGCUAAUACCGCAUACGUCCUGAGGGAGAAAGUGGGGGAUCUUCGGACCUCACGCUAUCAGAUGAGCCUAGGUCGGAUUAGCUAGUUGGUGGGGUAAAGGCCUACCAAGGCGACGAUCCGUAACUGGUCUGAGAGGAUGAUCAGUCACACUGGAACUGAGACACGGUCCAGACUCCUACGGGAGGCAGCAGUGGGGAAUAUUGGACAAUGGGCGAAAGCCUGAUCCAGCCAUGCCGCGUGUGUGAAGAAGGUCUUCGGAUUGUAAAGCACUUUAAGUUGGGAGAAAGGGCAGUAAGUUAAAACCUUGCUGUUUUGACGUUACCAACAGAAUAAGCACCGGCUAACUUCGUG
RNAcentral lists this ribosomal RNA (484 nucleotides) under uncultured bacterium. Its description in RNAcentral is "partial 16S ribosomal RNA". It matches the Rfam family "Bacterial small subunit ribosomal RNA", at positions 30 to 507 of the family's 1533-position model. The record is from RNAcentral.